AGACACGGCCCAGACUCCUACGGGAGGCAGCAGUAGGGAAUCUUCCGCAAUGGACGAAAGUCUGACGGAGCAACGCCGCGUGAACGAUGAAGGCCUUCGGGUCGUAAAGUUCUGUUGUUAGGGAAGAACAAGUACCAGAGUAACUGCUGGUACCUUGACGGUACCUAACCCGAAAGCCACGGCUAACUACGUGCCAGCAGCCGCGGUAAUACGUAGGUGGCAAGCGUUGUCCGGAAUUAUUGGGCGUAAAGCGCUCGCAGGCGGUUUCUUAAGUCUGAUGUGAAAGCCCACGGCUCAACCGUGGAGGGUCAUUGGAAACUGGGGAACUUGAGUGCAGAAGAGGAGAGUGGAAUUCCACGUGUAGCGGUGAAAUGCGUAGAGAUGUGGAGGAACACCAGUGGCGAAGGCGACUCUCUGGUCUGUAACUGACGCUGAGGAGCGAAAGCGUGGGGAGCGAACAGGAUUAGAUACCCUGGUAGUCCACGCCGUAAAC
RNAcentral lists this ribosomal RNA (493 nucleotides) under uncultured bacterium. RNAcentral describes it as "bacterial SSU rRNA". It matches the Rfam family "Bacterial small subunit ribosomal RNA", at positions 322 to 807 of the family's 1533-position model. The record is from RNAcentral.